AUUUGACGGUGCCCCACCCACCUAGAGGAGCCUGUUCUAUAAUCGACAACCCCCGAUAUACCUUACCGCUUCUAGCCUACUCAGUCUGUAUACCUCCGUCGCAAGCUUACCUUGUGAAUGCCACAUAAUAAGCUAAAAGGCUACCACCCACACGUCAGGUCAAGGUGCAAUUUAUGUAGCGGAAAGUAAUGGGCUACAAUUUCUCUAACAGAACAUACGAAAUACUAUCUGCAAUACUUAGUCACGAAGGUGGAUUUAGUAGUAAAAAGAAAUCAGAGCGUUCUUUUUAACCCGGCUCUGGAGCGUGUACACACCGCCCGUCCCCCUCUCCCACACACCCCCCCCAGGAGAGAUAAGUCGUAACAUGGUAAGUGUACCGGAAGGUGCACUUGGAACAGCAAA
Molecule: ribosomal RNA, 402 nt
Filed under: Cophyla noromalalae
Lineage: Eukaryota; Metazoa; Chordata; Amphibia; Anura; Microhylidae
Description: partial 12S ribosomal RNA
Rfam family: Bacterial small subunit ribosomal RNA
Source: RNAcentral